This is a long non-coding RNA of Nicotiana attenuata, 1193 nucleotides long. RefSeq lists it as uncharacterized. NCBI's taxonomy places the organism in Eukaryota, Viridiplantae, Streptophyta, Magnoliopsida, Solanales, Solanaceae. The transcript has 2 exons. The record is from RefSeq and is a predicted model, not a curated record.
GUACAAAGUGUCAAUUUGGCUUGGCCAGAGAUGUUUGCGUAUUAAUUAUAAACGACAAAAGGGAAAAGGAGACAUUGUUCUUUAAUAGAACAGGUGAAUAAUCAGGGGCGGACCUACGCUUGGGGGUGGGGGCACGGGCACCCGUUGGCCUCGGUAAAAAUAUUGUAUAUAUAUUCUAUAUAUAUAAGUUAAUACGGGAAGGACCCCUAUAAAUAUAUUAUGCGGCACCCUCAGUCACAAAGACUAGAUAAAAGAGUUGGUUUGUGGGCGUAGUUGGCUUCUUCAAGACUCAAGUUUGAAUCUUAGGUCCAACAAUCAAAAUAAUUUUUUUGAUUGGGUCUCAUUUGGUCAGGCCUUUAAUUUAACGCAUACUAGUACCCUUUUUGCACACGCCUACUAGUACCCUUUUCUCUCUCUUUGACAUAAGGUUCUUCUAAACCCAAAACAAAUCUUUGACAUCAGUUUUUUCUUCUAAACCCCAUUCCCAAACCAAAACAAAUUUCAUCCUUCACCUGUUCACCAUCGCGGCAUCACACGUUUCUUUCUUCAGGGAUUAAGGCAUGAAGCAGCUGCCGAAUCUUUUUCUGGGAAGUUCUCUUGAUGUGAAUUGAGAUGGACAAAUUUUUGACGAGGUUUAAUUCUCCUCAACCAAGUUCUAGUUUUAGAGACAAUUCCUCCCAUCUUGUCGAAGAGUUUGAUGUGAAAUCACUUAAUACCGACCCCGGAGAGAGAAUACCCAUUGAUAGAUAUAGCCCUAGAAUACGGGAUGAAGUGAGAAGACACUACAUCCAAAGAGGGCCCUGCCAAGCAUUAUCCCGAUGAGUUUGGUGAAUUGAAGCUUCGAGAUCUUAGUCGCCAACUUGAUACUUUCAUAUGGCAUAUGCAACAUGGUGACCCUAGGUUCUCUGAUUUGAAAGGAAUUGGUGAUUUGGCGAAAGCAUUGGUUGAAACAAAUCUUGUGGAGACUUAUUCACUUGUUUAUUUGCUUGUGAAGUUGACUUUAAUUUUACCCGUCGCAACUGCAACGGUGGAAAGAGCAUUCUCAUCUAUGAAGUACAUCAAAAAUGAAUUGCGUAGUAGUAUUGGUUAUGCAUUUCUAAAUGAUUGUUUAGUUUGUUACUUUGAGAAGGAAAUGUUUGUAAAAUAUGAAAACGCGUCGAGUUCAACUAUGAGUGGACAAUAUACUUUUGUUA